CUAAAAUGAAAGUAGACAUCGUCACAUGAUUAUGAUGAUAGAUGUAAGGGACGGACAAACUUAACACCAUGAACUAUAUCCGUACUGGCAUCGGUCUGUUUUUUGAGUAUGACACCCCAAGAAUCGUUCACAUACAGAGCAAAAAGGUCGGGGUGAUCAAUCGCUUCAUUCAGUUCUGUAUCAUUGGAUAUGUCAUCGGCUUUGCCAUCAUUUUCAAAAAAGGCUACCAAGACUUUGACAAUGUGCAAAGUGUUGUUACUACGAAAGUUAAAGGCAUCGUCAUGGUGAACACCACAGUCCACCCUGAUAUCCAGCCCAUCUGGGACGUAGCCGACUAUAUUGUACCACCCCAGGAGAACAAUGCUUUUUUUGUUAUAACCAAUCUCAUAGUCACCCCAAAUCAAUCAAUCGGAAUCUGUCCAGAGGACAGCAAAGUACAUGGUUCUAAUUGUACUGUUGACAAAGACUGUCCGGCAGGUACCUCACUUCCUGUUGGCAAUGGUGUUUUAACAGGAAAGUGUGACCCUGAUGUCAAUAGAUGUGAAAUCCAUGCAUGGUGUCCCGUGGAAAAUGGGACCACCGAUGCACCCAAUCCAGCUGUCUUAGAGGAUUCAAAACAAUUUACUGUAUUCAUAAAAAAUAAUAUAGAGUUUCCAAAGUAUAACGUCAAAAGGCGAAACUUGCCGGACAAUGUGAGUAACGACUAUCUCCAGAACUGUAGGUAUGACGGCGGGGCCAACUCAAGGUGUCCUAUCUUCACUCUCCAGUCCAUUGUAGAGGGGGCAAAUAGUGGAUCCUACAGAGAAGUAGCGUUUGAGGUUGUACAGAGAAUAAGGAUUGGAGGAAUUAUAAUACAAAGGGACAUUGUUAGUGGCACAGGAAGUAGAUAUGAUGAGUUGUCUUUCCAGGGAGGAGUUAUUCAGAUCAGGAUCAAAUGGAACUGUAACCUGGAUCUGUCGGAAGAUAAAUGCCUUCCGGAGUACAGUUUCAGGCGACUGGACAGCAGCACCUACAAGAUAUCAAAAGGAUACAACUUUAGAUAUUCAAGAAAUUUCAAAGAUGCCAAUGGGACAGAGUUUCGAACCCUGUAUAAAGCCUUUGGGAUCAAGUUUGUAAUCUCUGUGUCUGGACAAGCUCGGAAAUUUGCCCCUGUUCCAUUCCUUACAAACGUGGGAAGUGGCCUGGCUCUGUUGUCCAUCGCAACAGUUAUCUGUGACAUUGUGGUCCUCUACAUACUGAAGGCCAGGGCACUGUACAAAGAGAAGAAGUACCUGCAGGUGGUGGGCGAUGAUGCUUACAAGGGUAUGGUAAACGAAGAUUUGAUACACAGACAGAACUAUCAAACUAUCUCUGAUAAUGAAAAUGAUUUAUGAUCUCUCGGGAUAUUCAAAGGUGCUAGACUGAAAAAUCCAUUCCUGACAAUUCUGACGAUUGUUUGCUAUGAGAAGAUAUGCAGCAGACAGACUAUGUCUAUUCUUAUCAUUAGGGUCCAUAGAAAUGUAUGCUUGGUGGGAAGUGUUUAUUUAUUUAAAAAAUGACACACUUUUCCUUGUUUCACCUUAUGUAUUUUUGUAUAUUUACUUUUGUACGUUUUUCUUUAAUUUGUUAAUUUGGUUGGUUGGUUUAUAAGGUACGAGGUAAGGUGGGUCUGUUUAGUUUUUUUUUUCAUUACUGUAAAGAUUUGAAGUUACGUAAAUGAAUUAAAAGAUGGAUAGAAAAUUAGUGACCUGAACUUCAAGACUUCAUAUGUGGCAAUUUGUGUUUCAUUCAGAUAUUCUCUGUAUCAGUUUGAAUAAAGAAUGGGUAUGCAGAUUACUCAUCAGUAGUUUAGUACAUAACUAUCAUACGGGUUAUAUGUUCAGAAAAUUAUAGACACAACUCAGUGUUGUUUUACCGAUACUUAGACACAUUAUAAAGUCCUCUUCCAGGGCUGCGUUUUACAAAAGAACUCGCGACAGAGUCUUAAAUGUUUUCAGUCUCAUAGAAUGGUCUUUAAUAAAAAAAAAAUUAAGCUAAAACCAUUUAUUUACAACUAUUUUAUUUUCCAUAAUAUAUUUUACAGCAAUUCGAAUAAAGCAUUGAUUAGUUAGGAAUUAAUUAGCAUUCAAUAAUUUGGUCAUAAGUCGUAAGUUCCUUUGUAAAACGCAGCCCAUUUUUGUAUAUUUUCUUAGUUUAAAUAAGCUUAAUUAAUGAAUUAAUUUUGUUCCACGUUAUAAGGUCAGCGAAUUCGAUUAUUAAAAUCAAUUCAGUCAUUCAAAUGAAGAUUAUCUUCAAAUUAUUCAUUAAUAGAUAACAAAGAUGAGAAAUCUAAUUAAGUAGUAAAUAGGAUGUAGGUGUCCACAAGCGUAUAUGAAUUAUACAUGUAUCUACCAGUGGGUACACAAACUCGAUGUAUAGAAAAGGUCAUGUUCCGUGCAGCCGAGGCUAAUAAACUUGGCAUUUUUUUUAUUUUGAAUCUUCACAAGAAUUCUAACAGUAAAGCAUAUUUUAUUAGUUUAUUUAAAUAAAACAAAGUUAAUUAG
This is an RNA transcript of Magallana angulata, 2522 nucleotides long. It is a transcript of the gene named P2X purinoceptor 4-like, with no coding region annotated. NCBI's taxonomy places the organism in Eukaryota, Metazoa, Mollusca, Bivalvia, Ostreida, Ostreidae. The record is from RefSeq and is a predicted model, not a curated record. The transcript has 15 exons.